CGCAUCUUGGUGGGUCUGGAGCUGGCUGACAAUGCAGGGGUCUCUCUGUGUCUCCAGAGUCCUGUCUAUCGCUGGGAGCUCCAUCUCUCCUGCCCCACCCAUCAUGCCAGAGACUGCAGCCUCAGACUCCCUGGGGGUGCUGGAGCCACAGUGCAGAGGUGGUGCCCAACUCAGAGGACCAGGGACCGGGCGCCGCCUUCCAGCUCAGUGAAGCAAGCCCUCCCCAGAGCUCAGGCCUGCGGUUCAGUGGCUGCCCUGAACUUUGGCAAGAAGAUCUGGAGGGGGCCCACCUGGGCAUCUUCUACUAAAUGGCCUCGGCUUCCCUCUUUCCAUCCAGGAAUCAGGCCUGUAGCUUGGGUGCCUCCUCAUUUGUUAAUUAGUGGCUUUUCAUGUUCUCCUUUAGCCAAGGCUCCCUUUUUCCAAGUGAUGUCUUUCAGGGAAGCAGUGUUUGAAAUAGAUAGCGGGUACCUUCCCUGGAUGGAGUCAGGGUGGGGGCACUGUCCUCCACUGCUAGACACUCCCAGAAUGCCUGGCGCUCUGCAGAGCACAGUCUGAGCUGCUCUAAGAAGGGGUCUCCUUUACCCUAAAGGCAGCUGGGCAGGGACAGGCGGGAGAAUGGGUGUAGGAGGCCGGCCCCAGGCUCUGCUU
RNAcentral lists this small RNA (648 nucleotides) under Pongo abelii (Sumatran orangutan). Its description in RNAcentral is "processed transcript". The record is from RNAcentral. Lineage: Eukaryota; Metazoa; Chordata; Mammalia; Primates; Hominidae.